Molecule: ribosomal RNA, 237 nt
Filed under: uncultured bacterium
Lineage: Bacteria
Description: partial 16S ribosomal RNA
Rfam family: Bacterial small subunit ribosomal RNA
Source: RNAcentral
UGAGGAACAUGACCUUCGGCGGGGGAUAGCCGGCCCAACGGCCGGGUAAUACCGCGUACGACCACAUGGGGACAUCCCUGAGUGGUGAAAGCAGCAAUGCGCCGAUGGAGUGCCUCGCGGCCUAUCAGCUAGUUGGUGUGGGUAAUGGCCCACCAAGGCGACGACGGGUAGCCGGCCUGAGAGGGCGACCGGCCACACUGGGACUGAGACACGGCCCAGACUCCGUACGGGAGGNAG